UUGUAAUCUCUAGAAAUGUUUUCCGCGUUGGACCUCACACAAGUCUGUUGGAAUACAGCGGCAUAGUGGUGAGACCCCCGUAUAUGGUGCGGACGCCCAGCGCUUUGUGAUACAUUUUCGAAGAGUCGAGUUGUUUGGGAAUGCAGCUCAAAUUGGGUGGUAAAUUCCAUCUAAAGCUAAAUAUUGGCGAGAGACCGAUAGCGAACAAGUACCGUGAGGGAAAGAUGAAAAGCACUUUGGAAAGAGAGUUAACAGUACGUGAAAUUGUUGGAAGGGAAACGCUUGAAGUCAGACUUGCUUGCCGAGCAAUCGGUUUGCAGGCCAGCAUCAGUUUUCCGGGAUGGAUAAUGGUAGAGAGAAGGUAGCAGUUUCGGCUGUGUUAUAGCUCUCUGCUGGAUACAUCUUGGGGGACUGAGGAACGCAGUGUGCCUUUGGCGGGGGUUUCGACCUCUUCACACUUAGGAUGCUGGUGGAAUGGCUUUAAACGACCCGUCU
Molecule: ribosomal RNA, 495 nt
Filed under: Rhodotorula mucilaginosa
Lineage: Eukaryota; Fungi; Basidiomycota; Microbotryomycetes; Sporidiobolales; Sporidiobolaceae
Description: partial large subunit ribosomal RNA
Rfam family: Eukaryotic large subunit ribosomal RNA
Source: RNAcentral